GACCUGGCUGAGCGGUCUUGCCGAAAGGUAAGCACUGCUCUGGCCGGGUCUUUCCUUCUGGGGAACCAGCGUGCUCUUAACUGCGUGCGUUGGGGAUCCAGGACUUUUACUUUGAAAAAAUUGGAGUGUUUAAAGCAGGCUUUCAAGCUUGAACAUAUUAGCAUGGAAUAAUGAAAUAGG
This 180-nucleotide ribosomal RNA is filed under the name uncultured Glomeromycotina. RNAcentral describes it as "partial small subunit ribosomal RNA". The record is from RNAcentral. Lineage: Eukaryota; Fungi; Glomeromycota.